This 7723-nucleotide long non-coding RNA is filed under the name Homo sapiens (human). RNAcentral's name for it is "non-protein coding ID2-AS1:26". The record is from RNAcentral. Lineage: Eukaryota; Metazoa; Chordata; Mammalia; Primates; Hominidae.
AGGCUCGCCCAGGCCCGGCCGCCGGCCCGCGCGCACCUGCAGACGCUGCACGUCUUAAGUUUCGAGUGAUUUGGGGAAGGAAAGAGGACCGAGAAGAAAAGAAAAGGGCUCGGGGGGGGGGGGGGGUGGGCGGGUGAGGGGCGGAGGAGAGGACGAAGGAAAAAAGCCGGGAGAGGGAGAAGAAAGAAAUCUUCCUUUUGCAAAAGGAGGCAUAAUGUGGCUUAGAGGUUGCCAAAGCAAAAGGUUUUGCUUUAUUUUGUUUUUGCAACCGAGGCGUUCAGGGUGGGGCUGGCGCGAGGGAAGGGUGGAUGGGGAGAAGGUCACUGUCUUAGCACAUGGCGAGAUUUAUUUACUCCUUUGGAUUAUUUCGGUUUCUCGCCGAAUGGCUUUGAUCCUGGAUUCCUAAAAAUACCUUUGAAAGAUUGAAAGACUCGCCCCGCCCCCCCAACCUCCACACCGUCUUACUGCCUAACUCCUCGGAACCCUCGGAGGUUGCGCAUAAACAAUUUUUUCUUCCAGAACGGCCCCCCUCUCCGCCCUGGGGGAGCCGGGAGGAUGUGCAGCCCCAGUCCUCCUGCUCGGCGGAGCCUCGCGCGCGCAGAGCCUAGCGCGAUUCGCGCCCUCAUUACUACUACAAAGCGCGGGCCAGACCAAUCCCCUUUCUAAUGCACCAUUUUCGACUGAGAACAUCAAGAGGCCAGAAACUUCCAAGUCAGCUUGCAGACGCAGACGCCUCCUGGGGUCCUGGCUUUAAGAACCAGAUGCCAACACUCCCGGACAGUUUAUGGCAUCCGGAUCCCUCAAGGGUGCUCAUCUGCAGUUGAGAGUCUAAUAAAUGGCAUUAACAAAGCGUUUCAGCGACUACCACGGCUUCACAGUGGCUCCUCCCCUGCCCUGCCACCAUUCAGGCUGUAAUUCCUUCCAGGAUUCCCGCACCAUCCUGUGUGCCCAGAGCUCUCUAGAGCACCAGGUAGAACUCCGUGCUAAAUCCAAUUGCUUGCAAUCUUCUGAUCCCCUUUUAGGGAGAUCACUUUUCAGCUUGGUUCAAAGAAAGCAAAGUUUGGGAAGUUUGGCGGAGGGGCCGACUUAACUACGGGCACUGCAAAUAUUUUGUUACAAAUGCUGUGAAGUGCCCCGAUUUGUGGCUGCGUUAGCUUUCACAAAGGAUUUUCCUGUGUCUUUUGUUCCGAUCACCAAAUUAAAAGAGAAAAUUAACUUGAGUGAGAGAUAAGGUCUUGGAAAACAAUCUUGGGCCGCCCGCGAGCUGGCGGGAGCGGGGCUGGCGUCGCCUUGUCUGCGCCGCCCCGAGGCGCGAGUCUUGGGGUCCGGCCACCGCAGGGAGCCUAGGUCAUGCAGGGACCCCCCCCUCCAUCCGCUGUGCACCCUCGCGCCACAGCGCAGCACCCAGGCCACCCCCCCUCUGCCCACCAGCGUCCGUGGGAAUCCGCCCCAGCCAGCGACAAGGACGGACUUGUCCGGAAUCAAACUGCAUCUUAAUAUUAUAAUGCGGCACCAAAAGCAAAACCCGAGGCCCCGGCUUGCAGUCCCUAACAAGAAACACAUUGUGUGCACUUUUUCUUUUUUGGCUCAAGCCACGUUCGCGCGCCGGCCCCUCCGCAGCGAGCCAAGUCCAUGACUUCAGUGAGGAGGAACCCGCCUGCCUCGCACCACGUGCGCUCCCAGCUGGGGCAGCCGCCCUGUGAGCCCUGUCCCGGUCCCUGGGACGGGCUAGGGCCUGGCCGGGACGCGCUUGUCCUGGGCACAGGACAAGGGCUUUGGGGCACAGCCCUUUCUCGGCCGGGGAGGCAGGCGAACCGAUCGCCCGGGCACUGGUGUUACCCAGGCGGCGCCAGCGCGAGUUGGCUGGUGGACAGGUUUUUCAAUAGUUUGAACUCCUUCUUCCCCUUGCCGCAUCUUUAAGGCGUUUACUCCCAGAUUCAGCCCUCUCCUCAUAAUAAUGACAGUUUGCAGACUUUUCCUUUCCAGUUAGAGUGCGUGCGCGGGUCCUGCAAGAUCCCAGCCGCGCGUCACCGCGAACCAUUCUGCGGGAGGGGCAGGACCUAAGGCUGCAUCUCCAGGAGGGAACGUGGAGACACCGCGGGCGGAGGGGACCUGGAGGAGUUCCUGGAGGAGCAGUCCUAGGCACGGGGCGAAGGAUUUGCGCUCUAGCUGGUGGAGCGCACAUCGCCCUGGUUAGCUCUGCGGAUUCUGUGUGAAGAAUACAGAGACAGACGUUCCAUUUCAAAGAAAAAAGAGCAACACGAAGGCCCUCUUUAAGGAGAGAGUAAACAUUCACUUUAGGUAAAAAAUAGUCUUUUACACGCCUGUGCACGGCACACCUCUUUUGCUGUUCACCUUGAGCCCAAGAGUUUGGAAAGGCUGCCCCCAUUUCAGAGAGGAAGAAACGCAGGCACACGUGAAUGACAGACUCCUCUGUGGUGGCCUAGACUCCAGCCAACACUUCCUAGGACAGCCUGCCAUUGUGCAAAGUCACCAUGUAACAAAUGCAGACAUCUCUGAGAUCACCAUGCAGUGAGGAAGUCUAAGCUGGUGGCAUGAAGAGGCCACAUGGAAAGGGCUAAAAAAGGGGCCAGCCUCAGUCAUCCCAGCUGAGCACCUGGCUGGGAAUAAAAGAGGACUCCGUGGAUGUCCAGCCCAGUAAGAUGACCUCAGCCCCAGCCACCAACUGACCAAGCACACAAGACAUCGUGAGGCUGCCUGCUGGAGCCUGGCCAGUGGGACUGUAGAGUAACUCAUUGUCGUGCAGGAACUCCUGGGAUGGUGUUGCCCAGUGACACAAUCCCAGUGUGGCCAUUUCUGAUCCCGAGAAAGCAGUCAGGAGUGGGUGGAUGCAGUUACAGUUCAUCAAGUCCUGCUAGUUCAAGUCAUGAGUCCUGAAUUCUCCAGGAGGAGCCACUAAAGAAAUGCAGAAGCAGGCAAUCCUUGCAAUAAGGCCAGCAAACUGCCAGUGUGAAGGAUGCCCAGGUAACCUGCCCAUGCCAGAACGGCCAGGAGAUGGUGGAACCAGAAUCUAAGCCCACGCCCAUCUGACCUCAAAGUCUGUGCUCCUGAGGUUCGCACCGAGUUGCCUCCUAAGACUUGCUGAAACUGGAUCACGUCCAUUUACCCAUCUCUGAGAGAAAUGCAAGCUUUAAAAAAGGAAAUAUUUACUAUGGAUAUUUUACAAUAGUUCCAAAACAUGAAAGUUUUAAAUAAGAUAUUCUUAACCAUCCUCACCACAUCUUCAGGUUCCCUUACAGCCACUGUGUUUUGACGAUUGCCCAUUAGAAAAAAAGACUAUGCUUUCUGUAGGUUUUAAAGGAAUGGUGGUGAAAUAAGGAGCAUUCCCUGAGCAGAUCUUGCCUGCGGGCACACCUCUGAGCAUUGGACCAGGCGAGAAGAGCCCAUGUGUUGGCUGCUUUGGGAUCCCAGCACUGCCAAUGGCAGGUGGGCUGUGGCCCAGGGAGAGAACCUAGCCUUUUGCAUUCUCUUGCCCCAUUUGAAAAUGGAGACGAUAGUGGCGCCCCGCUCAGUGUUAUUUUGAGGAUUUGAAUGUAUCUCAGAUGUAGUACCUGGAAAAAUAUAAGUGCUCAGUAAAUACGGUUGCCAGAUAAAAUGCAGGAAACCUAUUUAAAUUUAAGUUUUGGCUGGACAAUGAAUAGAAUAAUUUUUCUUAGUAUGAGUAUGUCCUUAUAUUUCAUCUGCUAAAUUUAGCAACCUCCUCAGUAAACGAUCACUACAAUUGCAGAAACGCCUUAUGACAGAUAUAGUAAAUCUGUAAAGAAAUAGGAACUUGCAUUUAUUUUUACUAAGCUCUGACUGGUUAAGAUAACUGGGCAAGAGAAGAUAUCUUCGACUAAACUUGCAGCACAUAGAGUAUAGAGAUUCAAAUUUGAAGUCCUAUAGGACUAGAAUGGCCAGAGGUGAACUGUAGCGAGCUUAUCUAAAGAGGACCAAUUUCAAAAGUUCCUCAGAGACUUAAAUGGGCCCACAGACCCCUCCUGUGUCUUUGCAUAAGCCAGCUCGUUAUAUCAGUUAUAAGUUGAUUUCCAGAGAAAUGUACCCUGGAGAUCCCUCUCCCACUUGAAAUAGGACUGGCCAAUCCAGAUGUCCCCCAGGUGAUGUUGGCUCAAAUGGAGCUCCAUAUAUUGGAGAAUCUAUUCAAGAAAACAAGCAAAAGUAUUUGUGACUGAGUUAGCUAAUGCCAGCUGGUAUCUUGAACAAACCCAGAUCUCUAACAUGCUAGUUUAUUUCGUAGUGUAAAAUGUGUGUUACUGAUGGGCAGACAGCUCUCAUUCAAGCAGUGACAGAUGUAAGCUCUUCCCAUUUUUGUGGCCCCAUUGUAUUCGGCGUGUGGCUUCCAAGUUGCCUGGGAUCAUCUCCACCCAGACUAAGGAAGAGGAAAGAGCUUGGACAACUGCACUUGGCUGGUUUUUAUGGAUCAGGCAAGGAAUUGGCUCCAACACAUUAGCUCACAUUCCAUUGGUUAGAACUGGGUUUCUCAACUAUUAGUACAGGGUGAGUGUAGGGUUUUGGCACCAUGGGCAUUUGAGCUGGCCAAAGGCUAAUCAGAGUUAGAACAAAGCCACAAAGCCUGUGAAUGGUGUUUAUUGUUGUGAGGAGCUGUCUUGUGCAUUGUGGAAUGUUCAGCAGGAUGCUCUCUGGCCUCAGAGACUCACUAGAUUCCCAUAGAACUCUCCUCUCUCCUCUAGUUGUGACAACCACAGUUGCCUCCUCUCCAGACAUUGCUAGAUGUCCCCGGGAGGCAAAAUUGUCCUGGUUGAGAACCACUGUGUUAGAACUCGGUCACAUGGCCAUACCUAACUGCAAGGGAGGGGGCUGGAAGAUCUAGACGAGUAGUAUGCCAGGAAGAAAAUAGAACUGAUUUAGAGGCUGCUGGCCAGUCACUUUCAGUGACCUUCAGCAUACUUAUUCCUCUGCAGCUGUCAGGACACUCAUGCCUGUUUCUGAGAUGUUUCCUGUGUGAGGGGACAUAGUGACUAUUGGAGGGGUGACAUGUUGGACUUGGGUAGGGUGAAGAGGAUUGGAAACCACCAUCAUGUUUGGCAGCAUUGAAUGUUUAUGACUAUUUGAAUAGUUGUGACAAGGGUACAGUGAAGGAGGAAGUAACCAUUUUUGAAUACCCUUUUACAAUUUGCAAAGCACUUUUAAAGGUAAGAGUGAGUUCCUAGACCAUAUUAGGGUGAGAAUGGACAUUGUUGGCUGCCAUAUCAUUGGGCAGGGGCUUUGAGAUUUUUGUCUUCAGAAGGCAGAUUAGAUUUGGAGUAGAAGGAGAAAUGUAAAGACCUGGUAUCUGAGUGUGUUUGCAGAGGGGAAUUGUCGUUUGGAAGCACAAGAAAGGGAAUGGCCCGUUGGCACAUAUGGUACAUUGUGUUUUCAUAUAAUUAUACCUGAAUGAAAGCAAGAGGAAACGUGUAGGAAGCUGUUUACAUAGUCCUUUUAAUAAUGUUUACAUGAGUUAAUGAACAUGCAAACGUAUCUGAUGAAAACAUGUCAGUAGUGAAACAGCCUUGUGAAGAAUCAGAUCUUACCUCAGGCUGGAAAAAAGGACUGGUUUUCCAAGCUCACAAAUUGCAGCCAGUGUGAAUAGUAGCACAAAUGACUGAGCUUUAAGACAUCCAUCCAUCCAUCUAUCCAUCCCCUCAUCCAUCCAUCCCCUCAUCCAUCCACCCAUCCAUCCAUCCCUUCAUCCAUCACUCCAUCCAGCCAUCCGUCCCUUCAUCAAUCCAUCCAUCCCUUCAUCCAUCCAUCCAUCCUUCCUUCCAUUCAUCCCUUCAUCCAUCCGUCCAUCCAUCCAUCCAUCCACUCAUUCAUCCCUUCAUCCAUCCAUCCAUCCAUCCUUCCUUCCUUCCAUUCAUCCCUUCAUCCAUCCGUCCAUCCAUCCAUCCACCCAUUCAUCCAUCCAUUCCUUCAUCAACUCAUCCCUUCAUCCAUCGUCUACCAUUCAUUCACCCCUUCAUCCAUCCAUUCAUUUAUCCAUCCGUCCAUUUACUUCCAUCCAUCCCUUUAUCCAUCCAUUCACCCAUUCAUCCCUUUAUCCAUAUGUCCAUUCCUCCAUCCAUCCAUCCAUCCAUUUACUCUUCAUCCCUUCAUCCAUUUUUCCAUCCAUUCAUCCAUUCAUCUUUUCAUCCAUCCAUCCAUUGAUCUAUCCAUCCAUCCAUUGCUCCAUCCAACCAUCCAUCCAUCCCUUCGUCCCUUCAUCCAUCCAUCCAUUCAUCCCAUCAUCCAUUGAUCACUUCAUCCAUCCAUCCUUCCAUCCUUCCAUCCAUUCUUCCAUUCAUCCAUCCAUGUGUUCAGCAAGUAUUUACUGAAUGCCUAUUAUGUGCCAAGCACUCUCCUCAGAACUUAGGAAAUACCAGGAAACAAAAUCAACAACAAUCCCUCACCACCUGGAUAUUACAUUUUGGUGGGAAGAGACAAAGAAAUAAAAUUGGUGAGUGAAUCACAUAGGUUAUUAGAAGGUGAUAAAGGUGUAGGUGAUAAAGGAGAAGUGCCAGGAGCAAGGAUUGGGUACAGUUGUGAAUAAGGUGGCCCCAAUAGGUUGCACUGAGAAGGUGACAUUUGCACAGAGACUUGAAGAAAGGAAGGAGAGAACAUGACUGUACCUGGGUAACAGCAUUUGUGGAAGAGGGAACAGCCAGUGUAAAAGUUCCAAGGCAUGAGUGCCUGGUACAUACAUGGAACAUCGAGGCCAGGGUGGCAGAAACGCGGUGAGUCCAGGAAGGGAAUAGGAACUAAGUGUAGGAAGGUGUACAGUGGGGUGGUGUGGGGGUGGAAUUGUGGCAGCCAGAUGGUGUUGGCCUAAGGCCUCUUGGCCCUUGUUAGGACUUGGUUUACCAUGGCGCAACACAUCCAUGAGAUUGGCAAAAAUUAAAAAGUCUGACAACAGAAAAUCUGGUAAUCUGGUGAGGAUGUGGAGCAGUGGGAAUUCUCCAAUACUGCCAGGGAGCAUGGGCAUCAAUCCCACCACACUGGAAUGCAAAGGGGCAUUCUGAGUAGAACUGAAGAUGUGCCCAUCCUUGACCCCACAGUUCCAGCCAUGGGCAUGCGCAUGAAUGUGCACACGUGUUGACUGCGGCAUUUGUUUGUCAUUAUGAAAACAUCUAAGUUUCCAUCUAUGGGAGAGGGGAUAAUGUGGGAGUGCCCAACAGUGGAGUUCUAGAGAGCAGUAAAAAUAAAUGGACUAGAGCUGCACACGUCAAAAUGGAUGAAGAUAAAAGACAUAAGGAUGGAAGAAGACCACCUGGCCACAGAAGUAUAUGUCCAAUAUGAUGCUGGUGUAUCCAGAGUGUUCAAACAAACAACACAACACUACUCAUUGUUUCCAACGUGAGUAUGAAAGUAUGGAGCAGUGCGGAGGGCCAGGAGUGCUGAAUCCACAUGGUUACUUCUCCAGGCGGGGGCCGAGGACCAGGGCUGGAGGUUUACUCCAGGAGCUUCAGUGGUGCAUGCUGAAUGUGCUGUUUCUUGGGCUGGGGGACAGAGAUGUGCAUGCUGUUAUACACUCUAUAUUGAAAUGAUUGUAUAACAAUAUACUAAUUUAUCAUGUAAUAAAUUUGACCAGAAAGAAACAACUGUUCUGUGGCUGCUUCCAUGACUGGAUUUCACGUUGUAGGUUUCUAAGCAGAGAGUCCAAGGAAAACCAAAGGAGCGGCGGAAGGAUAAGCCUCCCGGGUGUUCUGGGAGUGUCCCUUUGCUUGGG